Molecule: ribosomal RNA, 484 nt
Filed under: uncultured bacterium
Lineage: Bacteria
Description: partial 16S ribosomal RNA
Rfam family: Bacterial small subunit ribosomal RNA
Source: RNAcentral
AUUGAACGCUGGCGGCAGGCCUAACACAUGCAAGUCGAGCGGAUGAAGGGAGCUUGCUCCUGGAUUCAGCGGCGGACGGGUGAGUAAUGCCUAGGAAUCUGCCUGGUAGUGGGGGAUAACGUCCGGAAACGGGCGCUAAUACCGCAUACGUCCUGAGGGAGAAAGUGGGGGAUCUUCGGACCUCACGCUAUCAGAUGAGCCUAGGUCGGAUUAGCUAGAUGGUGGGGUAAAGGCCUACCAAGGCGACGAUCCGUAACUGGUCUGAGAGGAUGAUCAGUCACACUGGAACUGAGACACGGUCCAGACUCCUACGGGAGGCAGCAGUGGGGGAUAUUGGACAAUGGGCGAAAGCCUGAUCCAGCCAUGCCGCGUGUGUGAAGAAGGUCUUCGGAUUGUAAAGCACUUUAAGUUGGGAGGAAGGGCAGUAAGUUAAUACCUUGCUGUUUUGACGGUACCAACAGAAUAAGCACCGGCUAACUUCGUG